GCUACCCUUAAGAUGUGAUAAAGCCCAGCUGGGAGGCAAACUAAGAGGUUUAGGAGAACUGGAGAAUCUGGGUUCCCUGAUCCAUGGAAGGUGCAAGACUUAAGUUAGUCAAGAGAACAGCUCCAAAACCCUGGAGGAGAUGGAGUCAAGCUCAAGUCCUGAGACUUUCUGGGCUGGGACUAGCUGCUCCAAGAAGCAAUCAUGAAUGGGGUCUAGAAACUUUAUCUCCACAUCCUGUCCUGAGCGUGACAAGUACCCCAUCAAUAUCGGGAACAAUAACAUCAGAAUGAUACUGGAGUUAGUUUGGAACUGUUAUGACUGAUUCCUAUGUUUACUGAAUGUCUGAUUAAACUCAAUAGAGGACUGAAAUUACUAGUCUUUCUUCAGUGUAAUUACGUGUAGUUUUGCUCAUCCAAAGCCCCACAUAUAACCUCUUUUGUUGCUGAGGUUGCUAGAGAACAGUUUCUGAGGACUGAUCCAUCAUGCAAGCAACUGCAAUUAGUUUGGCUGUGAAAGAUUGUCUGGGGU
Long non-coding RNA from Dermochelys coriacea (leatherback sea turtle), 528 nucleotides. RefSeq lists it as uncharacterized. The record is from RefSeq and is a predicted model, not a curated record. The transcript has 3 exons. Lineage: Eukaryota; Metazoa; Chordata; Testudines; Dermochelyidae.